RNAcentral lists this ribosomal RNA (200 nucleotides) under uncultured bacterium. Its description in RNAcentral is "partial 16S ribosomal RNA". It matches the Rfam family "Bacterial small subunit ribosomal RNA", at positions 28 to 263 of the family's 1533-position model. The record is from RNAcentral.
GAUUAAUGCUGGCGGCGUGCCUAAUACAUGCAAGUCGAACGGGUUUAGACCCGUGGCGAACGGGUGAGUAACGCGUAGGAAGUUGCUCCGAAGUCGGGUAUAACCCGCCGAAAGGCGGAAUAACACCCGAUAUGCCGUAAGGUGAAAGUUUACGCUUCGGAAGACGCCUGCGUCCUAUCAGCUAGUUGGUGAGGUAACGG